Long non-coding RNA from Pomacea canaliculata, 3875 nucleotides. RefSeq lists it as uncharacterized. The record is from RefSeq and is a predicted model, not a curated record. NCBI's taxonomy places the organism in Eukaryota, Metazoa, Mollusca, Gastropoda, Architaenioglossa, Ampullariidae. The transcript has 3 exons.
CCAAAAUGAGUUGGUUUGUCACGGACUGGGGACCUAAAAAGGGUCUGUCAAAAACAACACACAUCUAUCGCAUUGGCGAGAACAGCACAAUGAGGACCGCAGUACAAGUUAAUAGCAUAGUAACGAUGUUCGUGUCUAUGCCGAAGAAAGUAUUAGUAAAGCAUCUACCUCACCAACACCGACAAGCAAAGAAACAAUAAAAAUGGAAGAUACAGGUAGUAUUGAAUGUUUCAGCUUUUUGUUGCUUCAGUCAAUUGUAAUUAGGUCCGAUGUACUGAUAUGUCUGGCUCAAAAAAUGUCCUUAUGGAUGUAGUAAUGACGACAUAUACCCAGCAAACACGCAAGAUUCCGCCAAUCUUGGGACAAGCUUAGCAAAAGUUUGUACCAUUGGUUUAUUCAUUGCCAAGCAUCCGCCAAGCAAACGCCAACGUUCACUAUGCGAGCAUAACGCUAUCGUUCAUGUCAGCUGCGGUGGGGACAUUGGCAAAGCUUGGCAAGCCGCUUUCCCGCCAACGAUCGCGAUACAGGCGAGGUCACCAAGUUUGAGCCAAGCUCGCUGACAUAAAUGAUUUAUGACUAUCAAGACAUGUUUUACAAACCGCUUAUUUGUAAUUAUUUUGUAGAUUGUUAAAUAACAUAUAAAUAUAUUUUAUACUUUAUGGUUAUUACAAUCUCAAAAAGUAUAAAGGUAGAGAUAUUUUAUCAAGAACGCUCACUCGCCUAAACCUUCGCACGUGUUCGGGUCUCCGGCAUAUUUAUAUAUAAAACAGAGCGAAAUUGGAGUUACACUCGAUCUGAUCUUCAUUAUUUUUUAGGAAAGAUCUUCACGCUUCUUCAAAAUGUUGUCACGAUACAAGUACACAGAUUUAAAUAUUUUAUUCAUCGACCAUCAUCUGAAAAUUUAGCAAAGUUGACCGAUUCUUACUUAAACUGGAGACACAUAAAAAAUUGCUGUAGGGACAGCCAGUCCGAUUUGCCUUACACAAAAGUUAGCGAAAUUAGAAUCCGAAAAGACAUUAACAAUCAAAACUAAAUUCAAACGAACACAAACAAAGAUCUAAGUAAUUCAUAUAAUGUAAAAAAGUUAUGUACAUUUUUUUCUAAUUUUUCCUCUUGGGUUGACACAUACAAUUUUAUUUACUUUUACGUUCAUCAAUACAUCUGAUUCAAUACACCAAACAAAUACAAGUAUUUUUUUAUAUUAUUCAGUUUAUUAAAGCAGAAUUUGAGUCUAAAAAAACACAGGUGUGUUUAUGUGAGUGUAUGUAUGUGUAUAUUGCUUUCAUUUUCAUUCAUUAAACUCAAAUGCAUGCAAAGUUGAGUAAAUGUCAUUUCAUUAACAACAUUUACUUUUGCCCUCAAUUGUGUACUUAUCUGUUCCUAUCCUAGCACAUUACCAUAUUUCUAUACUACGGAACAGGAAAUUGAUAUGUUUUUGAUGCUUAAUAAUUAUUUUAAAGGAUUUCUCUUAUUAGAUGGUAUAAGUCAAUGAUGCUCAUAAAUUGUGUAAUUUUAACGACAGUGAUUUAUCUAGAGGAGAUAGUAAGUUAAAUUUAAAUGGAUUGAGUAUGAGUAUAUAUAGGCAUUGGAAGGGUUUUUCUGCUUAAAGCAUAUUAUUCUUGUUAGCAUUAGAUAUUUUCUAUCUGUUCAACAACCACUGUACUGGGUCGGUUCUUAUAAUAUUAAAUACACCUAAAAGAAAAUACACGAUUAAUAAAAACAAAAGGUAUUGUAAACAAGUUAUUUCGGUUGAUAUAGACCAGUGUCCAAUUAAAAUUAAAUGCCUACAGUAUUUUGAUUAAAGAAAUAAGGUUUAAAAAAGACAUUUUAUUUGUUAAAGUUUCUUAUAAAUUAUAGUCUUUUCCUAUUUAUUUCCUAAGUUUUAAUGAUUUCAGAAAAAAGUUUUUUUCUCAAUUUAAAAGAUGUACCACAUUAUCCAGCUAUUCGAAGAUGGAAAGACGUCUGCAGCCAUCAUGCCCGAUGAAUGGUUCAUCCCAGAGAGCACCAAUAGAUAUUGCUGGCCUAGCUCUAAAACAGACCCCCCCUGGGUCGAAAACACAAAAAUGCCAUGCCCGAACUGAAACAUUUUUACCUACCAGCGGAUAAUUAAAAGGACAUGUAAUUUUUUUUCUCUGUGUGUGUUCAUUUUAUAACUCCUUGUUUGUCAAACAAUUAAAAAAUUUCUUCUAAUGCACUAAUUAUAAAUUGAAUAUAGUGCAUCAAAUAAUGUUUGAAAGAAAUUUUGUAUUUGAUACUUUAGAAAUUAAAUAAUUAGUACUACUUCAGUUUGUGAUUAAUUGUGAUAGUUCUGUCUCUUGUCAUAUUUUAUGACAUUUUGUCAGUGUCACACCAUGAUUUAUGAUUCGUUCUGCCUGAAAAUAAAACAGUGGACCAGCGUAUCUUAUCUCCAUAGUUUAAGCAUAAACUUGACUUAUUUAUAGACUUGAAAAUUUGCUUUUAAAGGAAUUUGGAGCCUUCAAGGCUAUCCUUUCUGUUUGUAGACAUACAAAAGUUUUAUGAGAGCUUCCACUCAAUUCUCUCCCUUGUAUUAUCAAGGAAUCGUUGUACUGAGACUAUAUGAUAACAGAGUAGCGACCCUCAGGUCAUCUUCCUAAGUUUGUGAAAGGUGAGAGACCGCCUAAGCAGGAUGCCGUGUUUUGCACAACAGCCAGAAGUGACCACCAGGCCAUGGGUGGACUGGUAGGCUGGUACUGUUGGUGGACACAAUAGCCAGGAGUGACCACGCCAACUAGGUGUGGACUAUAAGGCGAGUACUGUUAGUGGACACAGCAGCCAGUGGUGACCACCAGGAGCCAGUGGAAAUCCAUGAGGUGCUUGCAGGUUCAGUAGCCGGUUGGUGACCACAAGGGUCUGUGUGAGACGCGAGUGGACUUCGUGAUUUCUUGGUAGUGUUACAGUUCUUUACGUAUACUUGAAAGCCUUGAUUGAUGGACGACAGGCUGCACAUAUGUGUGUGUGUGUGCGCGAGUCUAAGUUUACUCUGUGCUAGCGUUAAAACUUUAUUUGCUUAGAGAUGUUCUGUAUUAGAGUGCUUCAUCGUUGUUGAUUUAGUGACGUGUCUGCCGCUUAACGCAUGGGGGUGAGGGGGGGCACCCUUUCGUUGGUCGAAUUUUGAAAGGAGAACUUAAUAGGGCUACAUCAGGUCAUAGCUAUAGGUGGGUCUUGGAGUGGGAAGUUUUUUUGUUUCAUGCUGAGGUCACCUAGUGACAGAUGUUCUUUUGUUUUCUCCACAGGCUUACCAUCUUUAACAUCUUUGUCAUCUCCAUCGUCCGUGCCAUCCUUUUCAGCUUAACUUCUGAUAUUCUUCGUAUCUUCGUGUGAUCAUGUCGACGUUGUCCUGGUUCUUGUCGUCGCUGCAUUUUUUAAACGUCAUCUUAUUCUCUUUCAGCCCCUGUAUGCGCGGAGUCUCAACCCUGCUGUUCCGUCCUCCCUUCAUUUCUUCGUUCUGUCGCCUUCUUCCUUCGGUUCUGUGUUGUGUGGUCAACAUGGCAGCUCGGACUGUGACCAGCAAAGUGUCCCUGUGCACAUGGGACAGUCAGUGCAGUGGUGAUCAGUGCAAGAGCAUCGCGUAAGAGACACAAACUGAAGGAGACAGUGUCAGUACACAGUGUCUACAUCUAACGUCAGGACUGAAUGUCUCAGGUGCAAGAACUCUGAUAUUACUGUGCCGCAGUGUGUGGUGGUGUUUUUUUCAUUAUCUCCCUUACUAACAUCACUCAUUACCAUUAUUUUGGCGUGGGGUAGUACCCUGUUUUCUUGCGUGUGUGCGUAUACGCACAUGUGUAUUUCUCUGAUUUCUUUUUUUUUACUUUUCUCAUUUUUUUAUCCACAUGUGAUUAAACUUCUUAUUUGUA